AUGCAUGGUCACUUUGAGAAACUCUAUGAAGAUUGGGCUACAUGGGUGCCAUGUUACUUCAAAUUCAGGUUCUUCCCUUUCCUUCAGUCAACGCAACACAACAAAGGGUUCAAUGUUGUGUUGAAGUGCUAUGUGAAGCCACACAAGUCAAUUCUCAACUUCGUCAAGCAAUAUGAGAAGAUUCGGGUACACAUACUCGUGAGGGAGGGCGGGAACGACUACCGGACAGAGCAUCUAGAGGCACAAAGAUGA
This 252-nucleotide ribosomal RNA is filed under the name Triticum aestivum (bread wheat). RNAcentral describes it as "partial small subunit ribosomal RNA". Lineage: Eukaryota; Viridiplantae; Streptophyta; Magnoliopsida; Poales; Poaceae. The record is from RNAcentral.